Molecule: long non-coding RNA, 778 nt
Organism: Phasianus colchicus (ring-necked pheasant)
Lineage: Eukaryota; Metazoa; Chordata; Aves; Galliformes; Phasianidae
Source: Ensembl
GACGCGCAGACACAGCAGGACACACAGACGCCGUAGGAUGGACAGACACUGUGGGACAGACAGACACUUCCUGCCCAAACCUGGCUGCACAGGACAGAUGGAAACCACAGGACAGACGGACGCCUGCUAUCCAACCCCACUGAGGGACACUCAGACACAGCAGGACACACAGACGCCGUAGGAUGGACAGACGGACACUUCCCGCCCAAACCCGGCUGCACAGGACAGGUGGAAACUGCGGGACAGACGGACGCCUGCUAUCCAACCCCACUGAGGGACGCGCAGACACAGCGGGACACACAGACGCCUCCUGCCCGACUCCAGUGAGGGACGUACGGACACCGCAGGACAGACGGACACUUCCUGCCCGAUCCCCAAUGAUGGACACACAGACACCUCCCGCGUGACCGUCGACUGCGGGACAGGCGGACGCUGCAGGACUGACAGAUUCCCCCCCUUCCUGCCCGCGCAGCAGCGCUCGCUGCAGCACAAGGGGGGCUGCGGGCACACGGUGACCCCCUGGGACCCCCGGGGGGGGGAUGGGAGGAAUGGGGGGGGUCUGGGGGGGGGAGGUGGGGGUACCGACCUCGUGGGAGGAGAGCGGCUGCGUGUGAGCGGCGCCGGACGCCGUGGUGACUUCAGACAUCCGCAGCAUCGUCCGAAUGAUCUCGCUGCUGGGCUGCAACGGGGCACAGCGGGAUGAGCUGCAACGGGGCUGCACUGCUGGGCUGCAGUGCUGAGCAAGGGGGGCUGCAGUGCUGAGCUGCAACGGGGCUGC